This 468-nucleotide ribosomal RNA is filed under the name uncultured bacterium. RNAcentral's name for it is "partial 16S ribosomal RNA". It matches the Rfam family "Bacterial small subunit ribosomal RNA", at positions 28 to 507 of the family's 1533-position model. The record is from RNAcentral.
GACGAACGCUGGCGGCGGGCUUAACACAUGCAAGUCGAACGGAAAGGCCCUGCUUUCGUGUGGUGCUCGCGGGGCGAAGGUGUGUGAUACACGGGAGUAUCCUUGCCUUGGGUGUGUGAUAACUUCAAGAAGCUGGUGCUAAUACCUGCUAGGAGCUGCUGCUGCAGGGGGGUGUUUGGAAAGUUUCGGCUGUGUUGGGUGUAGUCUGGGCUUAUCAGCUGGUUGGGUGAGUAUUGGCUUAGCAAGGGUUUGGCUGGUGGCCGGCCUGAGAGGGGGAACAGCCACCAUGGUACUGCGAUACGGACCAGUCUCCUACGGUAGGCAGCAGUCGGGAAUCUUGCACAAUGGGCGGAAGCGUGAUGCAGCAGUGCCGCGUGCGGGAUGACGGCCUUCGGGUUGUAAACCGCUUUCGCCUGUGACGAAGCGUGUGUGACGGUAAUGGGUAAAGAAGCACCGGCUAACUACGUG